GCAAAACGCGAAGAACCUUACCCACCUUUGACAUGUACGGAAUCCUUUAGUAGAUAGAGGAGUGCUCGAAAGAGAGCCGUAACACAGGUGCUGCAUGGCUGUCGUCAGCUCGUGUCGUGAGAUGUUGGGUUAAGUCCCGCAACGAGCGCAACCCUUGCCAUUAGUUGCUACGAAAGGGCACUCUAAUGGGACUGCCGGUGACAAACCGGAGGAAGGUGGGGAUGACGUCAAGUCCUCAUGGCCCUUAUAGGUGGGGCUACACACGUCAUACAAUGGCUGGUACAAAGGGUUGCCAACCCGCGAGGGGAGCUAAUCCCAUAAAGCCAGUCGUAGUCCGGAUCGCAGUCUGCAACUCGACUGCGUGAAGUCGGAAUCGCUAGUAAUCGCGAAUCAGAAUGUG
This 400-nucleotide ribosomal RNA is filed under the name uncultured bacterium. RNAcentral describes it as "bacterial SSU rRNA". It matches the Rfam family "Bacterial small subunit ribosomal RNA", at positions 954 to 1358 of the family's 1533-position model. The record is from RNAcentral.